AGUAGAAUUGCUGAGUCAUAUGGUAAUUCUGUGUUUUGACUUUUUGAGGAACUGCCAAACUGUUUUCCCACAGUGGCUACAUCAUUGUACAUUCCCAUCAGCAGU
RNAcentral lists this microRNA precursor (105 nucleotides) under Marmota monax (woodchuck). The record is from RNAcentral. Lineage: Eukaryota; Metazoa; Chordata; Mammalia; Rodentia; Sciuridae.